AUUCAGGGGGUACAUGUGCAGGUUUGUUACAAGAGUAUAUUGUGUGAUGCUGAAGUUUGGAGUACAGUUGAACCCAUCACCCAGCUAGUGAGCAUGAUACUGAAGCCAUGGAGAAGAGGAGACAGAGUGUGCAAGGGAAUGAAGAAAAGGAACAAGACUAUUUUCAAAUCACCCAUGGCACUAUUAGAAAAGUAUUUCAGCAAAAGGACUGGCUGAUUUUAUGAUUCCUGUGUCCACCACAGCCCUCUAAGUUUUACAUAGGUACCCCACAUCUCUCUAGAUUUCAGGAAGACUAUUAUCCUUCGACUUUAGCUUUCUGAUGGGUUCACAAAAAACCAUUAGUGUGCUAUUGGUCCAGCUUUUUUCUGUUGCAAAUAUGAGAGCUACAGUUCUGAGAUGAAACCACAGAUAUUAAAAGGAAUCCAAUUGAACAAAGAAAGAACAUGCUGUAAGAAAUAGUUCAAUAGCGGAAGAUCCUUUAAUAGUAUGUGAAAGGAGAAAUAUUCUCAUAUUGAUGAAAAGAAGAAAAGAAAAGGAAAACCUGUGAGGAUUUUAGAGCACCCUGACCAUCUGACCCAGGCAGACACUUCUAAGAGCUGCAUGGAACUGUAUUUAAGAUCGACAGGAAUAAAACUGUCCAUCUUAUCUUACUUUUCUUUUACAUACCCUUGGACUUCUCUCUAUUAUUCAUUGGCAACUCCAGCUCUUGAACUCUGAAAAUUCCACCGAUGCCAUUUGAGCAUUGAGAAAAGAUACUUUUCAUUUUAAGUUACAUCUUCCUACUGUUUGUAGAUGUUAUGUGUAUUCCAUUGCUAAGGAAUCAUUGUCUCUGCCUGAGGAAAAAGACAGUUUAAAAAUAACUUGUGUUGUGAUUAGAAAAGUCUUUGUAUCAAGAUACCUGAAAGAGAGAGAAUGCACAGGCACCUGUAUAACACAUGAUGGGUGAUAGUUUUCAACUGUGCUUGGCGGGGAAACAUUUUGUUUUGUAUAGAAAUAAAGUGUAGA
This is a long non-coding RNA of Pan troglodytes (chimpanzee), 1005 nucleotides long. RefSeq lists it as uncharacterized. NCBI's taxonomy places the organism in Eukaryota, Metazoa, Chordata, Mammalia, Primates, Hominidae. The transcript is spliced from 3 exons. The record is from RefSeq and is a predicted model, not a curated record.